ACACAUGGACACACACGGACAGCCACGGAUGUCCUGUGUGUGCUGAAGGACAGCCACAGACAGCCACGGACAUUCUGUGUGUGCUGGCGUACACCCACGAACGUCCUGUGUGUACUGAACAGACAGCCCAUGUGGUCCAAAAUCACCCAAACAGUCCACGGGAAGGGCCAGCGUGCUGAGUCCAAUGACCAACGUGCUUAUAUGUGUAGUGAUGGACAGCCACGGAUGUCCUAGUCUCAACCAUAAACGAUGCCGACCAGGGAUCAACAGAUGUUGCCGGGGGGAGUAUAGUAGCAUGGCUGAAACUUAAAGGAAUCUAAACACUUACUCUGCUGGCACCUUAUGAGAAAUCAAAGUUUUUGGGUUCCGGGGGGAGUAUAGUAGCAUGGCUGAAACUUAAAGGAAUUGACGUAAGGGAACCACCAGGAGUGGAGCCUGCGGCUUAAUUUGACUCAACACGGGGAAACUUACCAGGUCCAGACAAAGUAAGGAUUGAUAGACUGAGAGCUCUUUCUUGAUUCUAUGGGUGGUGGUGCAUGGCCGUUCUUAGUUGGUGGAGUGAUUUGUCUUCUUAAUUCCAUUAACGAACGAUACCUCAGCCUGCUAACUAGCUACGUGGAGGCAUCCCUUGAUGGCCGGCUUCUUAGAGGGACUAUGGCCGUUUAGGCCAAGGAAGUUUGAGGCAAUGACAGGUAUGUGAUGCCCUUAGAUGUUAUGGGCCGCACGCGCGCAACACUGAUGUAUUCAACGAGUUCACACCUUGGCCGACAGGCCCGGGUAAUCUUUUAAAUUUCAUCGUGAUGGGGAUAGAUCAUUGCAAUUGUUGGUCUUCAACAAGGAAUUCCUAGUAAGCGCGAGUCAUCAGCUCGUGUUGACUUCGUCAUUUCCCUUUUGUACACACCGCCCGUCGCUCCUACCGAUUGAAUGAUCCGGUGAAGUGUUUAGAUCGCGGCGACGUGGGUGGUUCACCGUCUGCGACGUCGCGAGAAGUCCACUAAACCUUAUCAUUUAGAGGAAGGAGAAGUCGUAACAAAGUUUCCGUAGGUGAACCUGCAAAAGGAUUAUUG
RNAcentral lists this non-coding RNA (1067 nucleotides) under Brassica napus (rape). RNAcentral's name for it is "Eukaryotic small subunit ribosomal RNA". It matches the Rfam family "Eukaryotic small subunit ribosomal RNA", at positions 1004 to 1831 of the family's 1831-position model. Lineage: Eukaryota; Viridiplantae; Streptophyta; Magnoliopsida; Brassicales; Brassicaceae. The record is from Rfam by way of RNAcentral.